This 1305-nucleotide long non-coding RNA is filed under the name Anas platyrhynchos platyrhynchos (common mallard). Its description in RNAcentral is "lncRNA (ENSAPLG00000024157.1)". The record is from RNAcentral. Lineage: Eukaryota; Metazoa; Chordata; Aves; Anseriformes; Anatidae.
UUCCACCCCCGUGACCCCCUGGCGUCCCCCUCCCACCACCGCAGCCCAACUGCUACGCCAAGGUGAUCACCAUCGAGGCGCAGAAGAAGAUCGUCAUCUACUCGAAGCAGCCCAUCGGGGUCAACGAGGAGAUCACCUACGACUACAAGUUCCCCAUCGAGGACACCAAAAUCCCCUGCCUGUGCCGCACCGAGAGCUGCCGCGGCACGCUCAACUAGGCCACCGCCUGGUGGGCCCGGUGGUGGGCCUUCUGGUGGGCCUGGUGGUGGGCCUGGUGGUGGGCCUUCUGGUGGGCCUUCUGGUGGGCCUUCUGGUGGGCCUUCUGGUGGGCGAGGAGGCAGCGGCGUUGGGGAGAAGUCAACGCGGUUGGCAAGAGGUCAACGUGGUGGUGUUGGGUCAUCAUCGUUGGCAAGAGGUCAUCAAUGUCUUUGGCAAGAGGUCAACGUGGUUGGCAAGAGGUCGUCGUGGUCAUCACCGUGGUCAUCACCGUGGUUGGCAAGAGGUCAUCGUUGUUGGUGUUGGGUCAUUGUGGUUGGCAAGAAGUCAUCAUGGUCAUCACCAUGGUUGGAAGAGAGGUCAAUGAUGUUGGUGAGAAGUCAAAGCGGUUGGCAAGAGGUCAUCGGCGUUGGUGGUGCGUCAUUGGUGUUGGGAAGAGGUCAUCAAUGUGGUUGGCAUGAAGUCAACGUGGUUGGCAAGAGGUCAUCACCGUGGUUGGCAAGAGGUCCUCUUAGUUGGCAAAAAGUCAACGUGGUUGGCGUGGGGUCGUCAUCAUGGUUGGCAAGAGGUCAUCGUUGUUGGUGUUGGGUCAUCUUGGUUGGCAAGAGGUCGUCAUGGUCAUCACCGUGGUCAUCACCGUGGUUGGCAAGAGGUCAGCGAUGUUGGUGAGAAGUCAACGCAGUUGGCAAGAGGUCAUUGGCGUUGGGUCAUCGUGGUCAUCACCAUGGUUGGCAAGAGGUCAUCCUAAUUGGCGUUGGGUCAUCGUGGUUGGUGUGAGGUCAUCGUGGUGGUCACCAUGGUCAUCACCGUGGUUGGUGAGAGGUCAAUGAGGUUGGCGUGACGUCAUCGUGGUUGGCGUGACGUCAUCGUGGUGCUCACCGUGACAACCCCAAAGGCAGCGCUGACACCACCAAGGCAGCCAUGACACCCCAGCGAUGACCACGGCGGCCAUGACACCCCAAGGAUAACCCCGGCGGCCAUGACACCCCGACGGCGGCCAUGACACCCCGAUGGCGGCCAUGACACCCCAACAACGACCAGGGCAGCCAUGACACCUCAACAGCGGCCAUGACACCACAACAAUGACCC